Lagenorhynchus albirostris (white-beaked dolphin) is the source of this 1121-nucleotide long non-coding RNA. RefSeq lists it as uncharacterized. The record is from RefSeq and is a predicted model, not a curated record. The transcript has 3 exons. Lineage: Eukaryota; Metazoa; Chordata; Mammalia; Artiodactyla; Delphinidae.
UUAAACUAGCACUAAGUCCUGCACUCCAAAGACUGAAGGACCUGAGGGAAAGGCAUCAAGGGGAGAGUUAUAUGCUCCUGUUCACCCCUCUUGGCUAGAAAAAUCAUAGUGUUUGUGACCAGAAAAUUGAAAUGGAAUGAGAUCCAAGAUGGCAGCCACUGACUUCUUUUCUAUUAACCUUCAGGCUGGAGUGCUCUGCAGAAGGAAGGGUGACCAAGAUGAAUUACCUCUUGGAUUUCAGCGCAUUGUUUCACUAACGUAAGAAGGCUAUCUGAGAAGUUUGUGAUUCCCACCAGACCAGCCAAGCAAACCAGCUCUCAGAGAGAGAUGACCACGGAUGGAGAAGACCAGGGCAGUGCAGUGUGGUGUAAGAAGCUUCAACUCUGGGGACAGUGGUAUGGGGUUUGAAUCCAAUUCUGGCACCUGCUACUGGAGCAGCUUCAGGCAAGCACCUCCGUCGCUGCUAUGAUGUUGAAGGAACAAAUCAAGGACAUAAGGCUGAGAGAUACAAUGUGGCCGAUUUCAAACAGAAAUGCUGCUGAGUACUUCAUCACCUGUUUUGUUGUGGUUCAAGUAAGGGCUGAAAUAAUAGUAGAAAAACGCGUAAACGAGUAAAUACAACUGAGAAAAGAAAGGUGGCGACGUAAAGCAGUAUAUUUACAUAUGAAGAUUGGUCAGGGAUGCACUCAUCUAUUCAUCCAGCCAUUCACCUACUCACCCUUCCAUCCAUCCGUUAAUUCUUUUUUUUUUUCAAAAAUGUUUUCUUGGGACUUCCCUGUUGGCGCAGUGGUUAGGAGUCCGCCUGCCGAUGCAGGGGAUGCGGCUUCAAACGCUUGUCUGGGAAGAUCCCACAUGCUGCAGAGCAACUAAGCCCGUGCACCACAACUACUGAGCCUGUGUUCUAGAGCCCAUGAGCCACAACUACUGAGCCUGCGUGCUGCAACCACCGAAGCCCGCGCGCCUAGAGCCCAUGCUCCACAACAAGAGAAGCCACUGCAAUGAGAAGCCUGCGCACCGCAACAAAGAGUAGCCCUCGCUCACCACAACUAGAGAAAAGCCCAUGGGCAGCAAUGAGACCCAACGCAGCCAAAAAUAAAUAAUAAAAUAAAUUAAUUAAACAA